This 44-nucleotide non-coding RNA is filed under the name Schistosoma haematobium. Lineage: Eukaryota; Metazoa; Platyhelminthes; Trematoda; Strigeidida; Schistosomatidae. The record is from RNAcentral.
AUCAGUUGACAAGUCCCAAACAGGACGAAACGCGUGUCCUGGAU